UGGGGAAUUUUCCGCAAUGGGCGAAAGCCUGACGGAGUGACGCCGCGUGGGGGACGAAGGCCUUCGGGUCGUAAACCCCUGUCAGAGGGAGAGAAGGGUGUCGGCGCGAUAACCGCCGGCAUCUGACGGUACCUUCAGAGGAAGCCCCGGCCAACUCUGUGCCAGCAGCCGCGGUAAGACAGAGGGGGCAAGCGUUGCUCGGAAUCACUGGGCGUAAAGGGCGCGUAGGCGGGAUGGCAAGUCAGUCGUGAAAUCUCUCGGCUCAACCGAGAAACGUCGGCUGAUACUGCCGUUCUUGAGGGAUGCAGAGGAGACUGGAAUUCCCGGUGUAGCGGUGAAAUGUGUAGAGAUCGGGAGGAACACCGGUGGCGAAGGCGGGUCUCUGGGCAUCUCCUGACGCUGAGGCGCGAAAGCGUGGGGAGGAAACGGGAUUAGAUACCCAGGUAGUCCACGCUGUAAACGAUGACGACUAGGUGUGGGGUGGUUCAGUCCAUUCCGUGCCGCAGCUAACGCAUUAAGUCGUCCGCCAGGGGAGUACGGCCGCAAGGUUGA
RNAcentral lists this ribosomal RNA (552 nucleotides) under uncultured bacterium. RNAcentral's name for it is "bacterial SSU rRNA". It matches the Rfam family "Bacterial small subunit ribosomal RNA", at positions 355 to 897 of the family's 1533-position model. The record is from RNAcentral.